GAUGAACGCUGGCGGCGUGCCUAAUACAUGCAAGUCGAGCGAACAGACGAGGAGCUUGCUCCUUCGACGUUAGCGGCGGACGGCUGAGUAACACGUAGGUAACCUACCUAUAAGACUGGGAUAACUUCGGGAAACCGGAGCUAAUACCGGAUAAUAUUUCGAACCGCAUGGUUCGAUAGUGAAAGAUGGCUUUGCUAUCACUUAUAGAUGGACCUGCGCCGUAUUAGCUAGUUGGUAAGGUAACGGCUUACCAAGGCAACGAUACGUAGCCGACCUGAGAGGGUGAUCGGCCACACUGGAACUGAGACACGGUCCAGACUCCUACGGGAGGCAGCAGUAGGGAAUCUUCCGCAAUGGGCGAAAGCCUGACGGAGCAACGCCGCGUGAGUGAUGAAGGUCUUCGGAUCGUAAAACUCUGUUAUUAGGGAAGAACAAACGUGUAAGUAACUGUGCACGUCUUGACGGUACCUAAUCAGAAAGCCACGGCUAACUACGUG
Molecule: ribosomal RNA, 497 nt
Filed under: uncultured bacterium
Lineage: Bacteria
Description: partial 16S ribosomal RNA
Rfam family: Bacterial small subunit ribosomal RNA
Source: RNAcentral